RNAcentral lists this long non-coding RNA (1537 nucleotides) under Scleropages formosus (Asian bonytongue). Its description in RNAcentral is "lncRNA (ENSSFOG00015031059.1)". Lineage: Eukaryota; Metazoa; Chordata; Actinopteri; Osteoglossiformes; Osteoglossidae. The record is from RNAcentral.
GCGUGUGGGGCGGGGGGGGGGUGGGGGGGGAGAGAGAGAGAGACAGAGAGAGAGACGUCCCCCUGGUACCAGAAUGCACCGCGCCACCACGACAGUUUAACGACGCGAGGAGAAGCCGCCGCGCGGCGCUGUGUCUGUGCCGUGCGGAGGAAACGACUCAACGUCACACGCACGUUACGUCACUUCAACACGUCACACACGUCACGCGUCACACCCACUCCCACUGUACGGCUUCUCGCACGAAAUAGUAUUAUUGCUAAUGAUAAUAAUAUAAAGUAGUAUUUUUUUUUUUUAAAUAUAUUUUAUUAUUAAAUAAUCGUUUCUCAUGUCUUGCAUACGUCGUUAUAAAAGCUCAGUGGAAGGCUUUCCUUUUCAAUGGCUGUACAAUGAGAAUGACAUGCUGCUGCUGCUCAGGUUCACCCGAACCGAAGUGUGCGAAUCGAAUGACACAGAGAGAGAGAGAGAGAGAGAGAGAGAGCGAGAGCGUGUUUCCCUGCUGUAUGGAGGAGUAACCCUUGUUCCUGAUGAGCAUGAUGGAGACAGAAGAAAUCACACACACUAGCUGAAGCCGCUUAUCCCAAGCGGGGUCGCGGCGAACCAAAGCCUAGCCUGGCAACACAGGGCUUAAGGCUGGAGGGGGAGAGGACACACCCAGGACGGGACACCAGUCCACUGCAAGGCACCCCAUGCAGGACUCAAACCCCAGACCCUCCAGAGAGCAGGACCUGGCCAAACUCGCUGCGCCACCGCGUCCCCCUCAGAAGAAAUCAACUCUUGCUUUGUAGGCUCUCUGGUUCUCAACUCAUUGACAACAAAUCGAUGACUCGUGAACGAAGCAAUGUGUUGCGCAUGUUGCCAAACCUGUUGUAGGUCUUGAGAAUGAUCAGCAGCGUCGUAAGGAUGAUGAUGAUGCCGAUGACGAUCACAGCGAUCAUGGCUCCCGAGCCUGGUUGACAAAGAGAGGAGGCAGAGUGUGAUGAAGAGCUCUGGGCCCUGCAGUGAACUUCCAUGUGAAUUUGAACCGAAGGGCCUCGAAACCGGGCAGCUUUUGUUCACUUCACUUUAUCUGCUUCUCAACUUUGCAGUAUUUGUCCUAGUUGGUGUUUCUGGGGAAUCUAUUGCAACCUGACAUGUAACCGUGCCGUAGUUCUCUCCCUUCCGGCGGUUACUACUGUAUUUUGUACUUGGAAUUCGUUAACAGUGCAUUUCAUGUUACUUAGGUACAGAUAUAGAGGCAGCAGGUACUAUAGCAGUUGGAGCCACAGCUUCGUGACUCUAAGAUCCCAGGUUUGAAUCCCACCUCCUGCUGUAUUACCCUUAAUCAUGCUACUUAACAGAGUUAAAAUGACCCUGCUGUACAAAUGGAUAAAUCGGUGUAAGUAGCUGAACACAGUAAGUCACUUUGGAGAAAAGCAUCAGAGAAACAAAAAGGCUCAUUAUGUCUUGUCUGAAAAAUGCUGUCUUCCGUUGGCUUUCCCUCGGUCCCUAUGGUACUAUGGUACUGUCGUCUUCAAUAAAAUUUCCCUUACAGCUGACA